RNAcentral lists this ribosomal RNA (496 nucleotides) under uncultured bacterium. RNAcentral's name for it is "partial 16S ribosomal RNA". It matches the Rfam family "Bacterial small subunit ribosomal RNA", at positions 28 to 523 of the family's 1533-position model. The record is from RNAcentral.
GACGAACGCUGGCGGCGUGCUUAACACAUGCAAGUCGAGCGAUGAACCUUUCAUGAAUUUUUCGGAAUGAUUGGAAGAGGAUUAGCGGCGGACGGGUGAGUAACGCGUGAGCAACCUGCCUUAAACAACGGGAUAGCCUCGGGAAACCGGGAUUAAUACCGUAUGAGACCCCGCCUUCACAUGAAGAAGAGGUUAAAGAUUUAUCGGUUUAAGAUGGGCUCGCGUCCUAUCAGCUAGUAGGUGAGGUAACGGCUCACCUAGGCGAAGACGGGUAGCCGGCCUGAGAGGGCGAACGGCCACACUGGAACUGAGAUACGGUCCAGACUCCUACGGGAGGCAGCAGUGGGGAAUAUUGGGCAAUGGGGGCAACCCUGACCCAGCGACGCCGCGUGGGUGAAGAAAUCCUUCGGGAUGUAAAGCCCUGUUGUAUGGGGAGAGCAGAAGACGGUACCAUACGAGGAAGCCCCGGCAAACUACGUGCCAGCAGCCGCCGUAA